CUGACUAAAGACUUAUUCCCGAGAUUUUUGAGGAUCAGAUGGAUCAUAUGGCAUACAACUUAUUUUGUGAUAUAUAUUGGAUAUUAUGUAUAAAGUCAUCACAUUGGGUUUUAUGAUAAAAUUUGGUUUAUUUUAUGCUGAUCAACUAUUUACCAUAUGAUAUAAAAAUGAUCAAGGAAUAGACAUAAAGUUUCAUCUAUUAAUAAAGUAAAGUUCUACAU
RNAcentral lists this long non-coding RNA (221 nucleotides) under Elaeis guineensis (African oil palm). RNAcentral describes it as "long non-coding RNA (EGUI_LNC017777)". The record is from RNAcentral. Lineage: Eukaryota; Viridiplantae; Streptophyta; Magnoliopsida; Arecales; Arecaceae.